Molecule: ribosomal RNA, 351 nt
Filed under: uncultured bacterium
Lineage: Bacteria
Description: bacterial SSU rRNA
Rfam family: Bacterial small subunit ribosomal RNA
Source: RNAcentral
AGAGUUUGAUCCUGGCUCAGGACGAACGCUGGCGGCGCGCCUAACACAUGCAAGUCGAACGAGAGAGAGGGAGCUUGCUUCCUCAAUCGAGUGGCGAACGGGUGAGUAACGCGUGAGGAACCUGCCUCAAAGAGGGGGGACAACAGUUGGAAACGACUGCUAAUACCGCAUAAGCCCACGGCUCGGCAUCGAGCAGAGGGAAAAGGAGCAAUCCGCUUUGAGAUGGCCUCGCGUCCGAUUAGCUAGUUGGUGAGGUAACGGCCCACCAAGGCGACGAUCGGUAGCCGGACUGAGAGGUUGAACGGCCACAUUGGGACUGAGACACGGCCCAGACUCCUACGGGAGGCAGCA